AGUUAUUUAGCUUAUUUAAAGCAAUUAUUUUGAAAAUAAUAGAAAGGUUAAAACUUAUUAACUU
This 64-nucleotide transfer RNA is filed under the name Empoascanara dwalata. Its description in RNAcentral is "tRNA-Ser". Lineage: Eukaryota; Metazoa; Arthropoda; Insecta; Hemiptera; Cicadellidae. The record is from RNAcentral.